Molecule: transfer RNA, 73 nt
Filed under: Cordylochernes scorpioides
Lineage: Eukaryota; Metazoa; Arthropoda; Arachnida; Pseudoscorpiones; Chernetidae
Description: tRNA-Thr
Source: RNAcentral
GUCCAGGGGCGCGAAUCGAACUCACAACGUUCCGCUUACCGGGCAGAUGCCAUGUCCACUAGGCUACCCUGGA